Molecule: ribosomal RNA, 253 nt
Filed under: uncultured bacterium
Lineage: Bacteria
Description: partial 16S ribosomal RNA
Rfam family: Bacterial small subunit ribosomal RNA
Source: RNAcentral
UACAGAGGGCUCAAGCGUUGUUCGGAUUCAUUGGGCGUAAAGGGUGCGUAGGCGGUCCAUCGCGUCGGGAGUGAAAAGCUGGGGCUUAACCCCAGUCCUGCUUCCGAUACGGGUGGACUGGAGGUAGGCAGGGGAGAAAGGAAUUCCGGGUGUAGCGGUGGAAUGCGUAGAGAUCCGGAAGAACACCGGUGGCGAAGGCGGCCUGCUGGGCAGUAGCUGACACUGAGGCGCGACAGCGUGGGGAGCAAACAGG